GGUAGUGUUAUCGUAAAAACGAAGUUCAAAGUUUAAAAUCAUGCAUUAUUUCUUUAUAUAUGAGUCAAAACCAAUGGUGCGUUUCUUUUCAUGUUAACCUUCAGGUAAAAAAAUGAACAAAAAGCGAAAUCCAAAUGUUAUUAUAUUAGGAUGAAGAUAGGAUGAUCCUAAGACACCUAAUUAGGUGUCCUAAAGUUAGGACGAAAACUGCGAUAUAUCAUGAAUUAAGAGAGCUUCGAGAACACGACUUAGGAUAAAUACAUGUCAUAAGAUGGACUUAGGACACGUCCUAGCCCUAAGACAGCUUCGAGAACACCACC
This 320-nucleotide long non-coding RNA is filed under the name Mytilus galloprovincialis (Mediterranean mussel). Lineage: Eukaryota; Metazoa; Mollusca; Bivalvia; Mytilida; Mytilidae. The record is from RNAcentral.